CAGGCCUUGACUUAAGGCUAGCAGUUAUAUUAUAGCUGUUGGUUUCAAGCAGAGGCCCACAGGACUAUCUUCCUGUGGUAUGUUGGCUGUUCAGGAACCUCAGGAGAGAAUGGCCAUUUCAUUGGAAGAAACAAUG
Small nucleolar RNA from Choloepus hoffmanni (Hoffmann's two-fingered sloth), 136 nucleotides. The record is from Ensembl. Lineage: Eukaryota; Metazoa; Chordata; Mammalia; Pilosa; Megalonychidae.